CUCCUUCACACCAGUACGCCGCUCCUGCAACGUGAGGGCAGGAAAAAAUAAGUCACAGGAGUUGGCGAUGGAGUACAAACAACCUUAAGGGCCGGUGUCCCUAUCCAGGCUGGGGCCCCAGAAAGACUUCUCCCACUGGCCGAAGCAGCCUCCCCAUCCUCUCCAACCCCCAACCCUCCGCCCUCGAGGGAAACUGCUCUACUUCCUCCCCUUCUUUAAAGGAUGUGCCAAAAUAAGCAGCUAUGGGCCAGACGAUGAACACCUUUUCCACUGGUUGAUAGCAGUGGCUCACACAGCUCUGAAGAACCCUAAGAAGCAGCCUGGAGGGGAACGCUCAGUAGAACCACCAUGGAGACCGUUAAGAUAGCCUUACUCAUCUUCCUUCUAACCUCGCUCCAGCUCCUCACAACAGAUGCUUCUUGUGUUACCACACAAAAAUCAGCAGAACAUUCAACAACAGGCAAACCAUCAGAAACUACGACACCCGUCACGACUGUUCCUCUUUCCACUGUAAAGAACCUUGGUGUAAAUGUUACUGCAACCAGCGUUACUGCAACCAGUGUGACCCCAACCAGUGUGACCCCAACCAGUGUGACCCCAACCAAGAAUUCUACCUGGAAUUCUACCACAGCGCUUGCUACAUCAACAGUAACAGAAAAUACAAAAAUGUCAUCCUCACCCCAAGUCCCAGUGAAUUCCGCAUCUCCAUAUACUAAGGAUAAUGGAACACAAGGGACCCAGGCCCCAACAACUGUUACCAAGAGUGACUCACUAAACAAAACCACCAUUUCUGACCUUACCAAAAAGCUCCCAGGUUCAGAGGCUGAAAAUACAGAUCAAGAUAGAGUCAAGGACAAUAAGAAUACGGAUCAUGUCGAUAAGAACCUGCUGUGGAUUCUUUUGCCAGUCCUGGCACUUGUGGGGGCUGCUGUCGUGGCCCUUCUGAAAAGUAAAUGCAUGAAGGACCACGAUCACACAGAGAUAACUGAUAAUGGAACAGAAAAUGCCUCUUUCCAGAGCAGGCCGGACAACGCCAAAGACGGUGUCAUGCUUCUCGGGGUGAAGUCUUCAGGCGGUGAAGACAAUGCUGCUGCAAGAUAAAAGGGAGGCCAUCCCAUUUGAAAGGACCAAUGGAUGAGGACGAGCUCUUACAACCAAAAAAUGGUCCAGAUCCCUUCACCUUCAACGAUCUAAACCUUAUGGACUAUCAAAUACAGCAUCACAGAAUCACAAAAGUUACUAAAGUGGGAACAUUUGUAUAUGGUUUGUGAGUAUUGUAGGAUAUGGGGCUCUUAACUGAACACGUGUCUGUUAGAAGGUAUAGCAUGUUUUAUUAUGUAAUUCAUUGUUUUGUGUAUUCCUAUUUUGAUGGUAAUUUAGUCAAGAAGGAAUUGUGUUUUUAAUUUAAUCAAGACCAACAUACAGACAUUUUAGUCAGGAAAACGAUGCUGGAUUCUGAAUUAACAUGAAUAAAUUAACCCAAAUUCUCAUUGUCUGAGUGUAAGAUGAUUGUCUCACCCCUGUAUUCAAGAUACUGGUUUUGAUUUGAUUAAAUCACCCAAACAUGCACAAAAUCCAAAUGUACUGAACCUGAAUUCAACACACAAUUCCUCGAUUGAAACCAGUUAGUGACCAGUACACAUGGUUAACAAGUGUUUGUAUGCUUUAAAUCUGUUUAAAAUAAUUAUUUAGUUUUCAGUGUAAAUGCCAGGAUUGUAAAGAUGAGCUUUUUUACCAGUAUGUUUCCUGCUUUUGAACAAGUUAUUUUGUAUAUUAGCUGUUGCUUGUCAGAAAACUUUUGUCAAAUGUUUCCCAAGGAGGGUUGGGUUUGUUUGAAUCACAGAUGUAUGUUUCCCAAGGAGGGUUGGGUUUGAUUAAAUCACAGAUGUAUGUUUCCCAGGGAGGGUUGGGUUUGUUUAAAUCACAGAUGUAUGUUUCCCAAGGAGGGUUGGGUUUGUUUAAAUCACAGAUGUAUGUUUCCCAAGGAGGGUUGGGUUUGAUUAAAUCACAGAUGUAUGUUUCCCAGGGAGGGUUGGGUUUGUUUAAAUCACAGAUGUAUGUUUCCCAAGGAGGGUUGGGUUUGAUUAAAUCACAGAUGUAUGUUUCCCAGGGAGGGUUGGGUUUGUUUAAAUCACAGAUGUAUGUUUCCCAAGGAGGGUUGGGUUUGUUUAAAUCACAGAUGUAUGUUUCCCAAGGAGGGUUGGGUUUGUUUAAAUCACAGAUGUAUGUUUCCCAGGGAGGGUUGGGUUUGUUUAAAUCACAGAUGUAUGUUUCCCAGGGAGGGUUGGGUUUGUUUAAAUCACAGAUGUAUGUUUCCCAGGGAGGGUUGGGUUUGUUUAAAUCACAGAUGUAUGUUUUACAACAUUUGGGGUUAAAGCAAAUAAAACUAAAUGUGUUUAUUUUUUGUAAUGGAGCAAAUCCAUAAGAUUUCCCUCUGGUCAAAGAUUAUUUGAAUUUCUCAAAUACAGAACAGCGCUGUUUUACUGAUCGGCAUUGGUUGAAUAUUUGUUGUUUUGCACCCGUACAUGCUAACAAAACAUUGGCGCCAUUAUACAAUGAAUAAAGUUCAUGUUGAUUUUAGAUGUUGACUACACCUGGCUACACACCAUAUCUGAUUGAUUUGAAUGUGUUGAGUUAUAUAAUGCACCAUUGGUUCUUAACGGUAUGCAAAUAAGCAGGCCUUAUAAGCAUAUCGUAUUCCCAAAUAGUAAACACGUUUUUAAUGGACAGCAAAGUCCAGGCCCAGCUGCUCCCAUCACUCCUGGAGGGUUUAGUUCCAACCAGGUUGUCUUUCUUUGUCGUCAAACUGCACAGAUUAUCAGAUCUCACAAUGAUUUGUCUGAGAAACCAUUUGAAUAGGCUAUAUUAUAACACAGGCUUAGUAAUCUUCUGAGAUGCGCAGCAUCUAGAGUCUACUUGAUUUGCCACCUGUAAAAUGUCUAAUUUAUCAAAAUAAACAACAUGGCUAAA
This is a long non-coding RNA of Oncorhynchus tshawytscha (Chinook salmon), 2970 nucleotides long. NCBI's taxonomy places the organism in Eukaryota, Metazoa, Chordata, Actinopteri, Salmoniformes, Salmonidae. The record is from Ensembl.